Molecule: long non-coding RNA, 107 nt
Organism: Alosa sapidissima (American shad)
Lineage: Eukaryota; Metazoa; Chordata; Actinopteri; Clupeiformes; Clupeidae
Exons: 3
Source: RefSeq, a predicted model, not a curated record
UUGUUGUAUCUCACACCCUGUUAUGUUUUUAGAUAGGCUUGGUUGUUGAUGGGUACAACUCCAACACAGAAAAAGUUCCAACUUUUGAAAAUGUUUGACAUAGUGAA